This 254-nucleotide ribosomal RNA is filed under the name uncultured bacterium. Its description in RNAcentral is "partial 16S ribosomal RNA". It matches the Rfam family "Bacterial small subunit ribosomal RNA", at positions 524 to 776 of the family's 1533-position model. The record is from RNAcentral.
UACAGAGGUCUCAAGCGUUGUUCGGAUUCAUUGGGCGUAAAGGGUGCGUAGGUGGCGCUGUAAGUCGGGUGUGAAAUUUCGGAGCUUAACUCCGAAACUGCAUUCGAUACUGCGGUGCUUGAGGACUGGAGAGGAGACUGGAAUUCAUGGUGUAGCAGUGAAAUGCGUAGAGAUCAUGAGGAAGACCAGUGGCGAAGGCGGGUCUCUGGACAGUUCCUGACACUGAGGCACGAAGGCCAGGGGGAGCAAACGGG